Molecule: small RNA, 701 nt
Filed under: Pan troglodytes (chimpanzee)
Lineage: Eukaryota; Metazoa; Chordata; Mammalia; Primates; Hominidae
Description: retained intron
Source: RNAcentral
UAUAGCAAGGGCCACAUUUAAAAAUAGAAACUGGAGCCCAUCCUCUGGUCAGUACCAAGGUUCUUGCCUUUAUUUUUAAAAAUACUACUUUUAAAUCUAUUUUUUGCAUACAGAUAGUCACAGAGAGUUUUGUGAAAUAGUGCUAAAACUGUUCACUUUUGCCUAGAUCCCUCAGAACAUCCAAACCAAAGGUCAGUCACUAGGAGACACCCCAGGAGCGUGCUAAUUCCAUCACAGCAGGGCCUAAGAAUGAGGUCAUCUUUCUCUCAUUCAAGGGAGACCUUAGUUUCCUGCUCUCAGCGACAUUUCCAUAGCCUCAUGAUAGCUGCUUGGUGUUCUACAGUGUCUCCAGAUCCAGACCCUCUUAUAUGGACCACAGGACAAAAGGACUCUGGCCACCCAGCAGGCCAUGGGCAUGCUGUCCACGGCCCCCAAGGUUGCUUCGAAGCCAAAGCAGGCAUCAAAAGCCAAAGUGGCCUUCUGCACCAGCAUCCCUCAGGACACCCUGCUGGGGAAGGCCCGGCCCGGCACAACAGCAGACUGAGGCCCCCACCCUGAAAAAGCCUAGGACAUUCCUGGGCACUGUCAUUUAGGGUGCUGUACAAAUCACCUCCACCUAGAAAAUGGAAUUCAACAGUCAGGAUACAGAUUUCCAAGGCCAACUGUUGGCCCCAACAUGCAACAGUGAGACCGUAAGCCUC